RNAcentral lists this long non-coding RNA (222 nucleotides) under Homo sapiens (human). Its description in RNAcentral is "HSALNT0238119". Lineage: Eukaryota; Metazoa; Chordata; Mammalia; Primates; Hominidae. The record is from RNAcentral.
CAGGAGUUUGAUGCCCACGUGGGACACAGCUAGGAGCUGCACACCAGUGCCCACGCUGCCCUGGGGCAGAGAUGAAGGGCGUGUGAGGAUCCUCUUGUCUCAUCCCUGAAUCCUCUGGACAGAGAUGCGAAGGCAGGCCUCGGAGAGCGUGUCGUGCAGGAUCUGUGGGAACAGGCUGUGAUGCAGGCAGCACAUGGGACUCCCCCAGCUGGGACCCAGGCU